This 461-nucleotide ribosomal RNA is filed under the name uncultured Desulfotomaculum sp. RNAcentral's name for it is "bacterial SSU rRNA". It matches the Rfam family "Bacterial small subunit ribosomal RNA", at positions 933 to 1382 of the family's 1533-position model. The record is from RNAcentral. Lineage: Bacteria; Bacillati; Bacillota; Clostridia; Eubacteriales; Desulfotomaculaceae.
UGGAGCAUGUGGUUUAAUUCGACGCAACGCGAAGAACCUUACCAGGGCUUGACAUCUUCUGACCGCUUAAGGAAACUUAAGCUUUCCGGAAGGUUUACUUUCUGGACAGAAAGACAGGUGGUGCAUGGUUGUCGUCAGCUCGUGUCGUGAGAUGUUGGGUUAAGUCCCGCAACGAGCGCAACCCCUACGGUUAGUUGCUAACGGGUAAGGCCGAGCACUUUAGCCGAACUGCCGUUGACAAACGGAGGAAGGCGGGGAUGACGUCAAAUCAUCAUGCCCUUUAUGUCCUGGGCUACACACGUGCUACAAUGGCCUGUACAAAGGGCAGCAAAGGGGCGACCCGGAGCAAAUCCCAAAAAACAGGUCUCAGUUCGGAUUGCGGGCUGCAACUCGCCUGCAUGAAGGCGGAAUCGCUAGUAAUCGCAGGUCAGCAUACUGCGGUGAAUACGUUCCCGGGCCUU